RNAcentral lists this ribosomal RNA (254 nucleotides) under uncultured bacterium. RNAcentral describes it as "partial 16S ribosomal RNA". It matches the Rfam family "Bacterial small subunit ribosomal RNA", at positions 524 to 776 of the family's 1533-position model. The record is from RNAcentral.
CACGUAGGGACCAAGCGUUGUCCGGAUUCAUUGGGCGUAAAGAGCUCGUAGGCGGUUCGAUAAGUCGGGUGUGAAACCUCCAGGCUCAACCUGGAGACGCCACCCGAUACUGUCGUGACUAGAGUCCAGUAGGGGAGCGUGGAAUUCCUGGUGUAGCGGUGAAAUGCGCGGAUAUCAGGAGGAACACCAGCGGCGAAGGCGGCGCUCUGGGCUGGAACUGACGCUGAGGAGCGAAAGCGUGGGGAGCGAACAGG